RNAcentral lists this ribosomal RNA (158 nucleotides) under Dothiorella iberica. RNAcentral's name for it is "5.8S ribosomal RNA". It matches the Rfam family "5.8S ribosomal RNA". Rfam says of the family: 5.8S ribosomal RNA (5.8S rRNA) is a component of the large subunit of the eukaryotic ribosome. Lineage: Eukaryota; Fungi; Ascomycota; Dothideomycetes; Botryosphaeriales; Botryosphaeriaceae. The record is from RNAcentral. RNAcentral also lists the same sequence under 1 other name.
ACUUUCAACAACGGAUCUCUUGGUUCUGGCAUCGAUGAAGAACGCAGCGAAAUGCGAUAAGUAAUGUGAAUUGCAGAAUUCAGUGAAUCAUCGAAUCUUUGAACGCACAUUGCGCCCCUUGGUAUUCCGGGGGGCAUGCCUGUUCGAGCGUCAUUUCA